AAAUCACACCUGGAGUUGCAGCUAGCAAGAGAUGUUAAGAGUAACAAGAAGGGUUUCUUCAGUGGAGGAUCACCCCUUAGGCCAACCCCGAGAGCUACCCUGAAAAUAUGAUGAAAGGAGCACAGAGAGGGGAGACAAACACUGCCCAGAGUAGGGCUGAUUUACCUCAGGCCCGUCACCACCAGAGGAGGAAGUGCUAAAUCUGGCGAGAUGAAGGAGGUGUCUUGCUGUAGCAUGCAUUCUACAAGAUAUGUUUCCACCUCGGUUGUGUUUGUUAAAGAUGUCCCUGUGACAUACUGUACCUCAAAGUAGCACAUUGUAACCCCCAUAUUCAUCAUUCGUGUAUGGUUGUGAUAUUUCAUUCAAAGCAUGCUAUGUAAGAUCUCAUAGGAAAAGUUAUGACCUGCUGAAAACCAUUGUUCUGUCAAAAUGUGUUCUCAUUAGUGUGUAUAAAGUUAUGAGGCUUUGCUGUAUGGCUGUUAUCGAAAUAUGUUGUAAGUCUGGGAGUCGUCCAUUGCUAGUUCUCCAGUGACAACAAAGGAGGUGACCAACACCCAGGCAGGCGUUAAAUGACCAUUAAUCAGUAGCGGAGUUGUAAACAAGGGAUAUACAGUUCUGUAAGAGAGUUGCGCAAGCAUCACACAAUAGGAGGAUUACUCAACUCUGUAACUCAGCAAGGCCCACCAGUACAUGUCUGGGCUAGUAUUUUCCAGGCACAUGAACUGAGGGUAUAAAAUAAGGGAUAGUGGCAUCAUGCUUUUACCUUUCUCCUCCUCCACCUACGCUGAAAGCAACAAGAAUGCUGGGAAGACUAAGACCUAAACUGAGGAGACUGGUCCCAGGCUUAAAGGGAAAGCCUGUGUAUAAAGGACUGUAACCUACCUACAACCAGGGCCGGAUUUCCAGUUAGGCACAGUAGGCACAUACCUAAGGGCGCUCGCAUUCUAGGAGUGCCUAAAAGUUAAAAGUGGGUUAAAAGUUUCAUUUUUUAAUGGAAAACACGAAAGCCAGCUGUAGACGGGGUAUGUGUGUGUGUGUGUGUGUGUGUGUGUUGUGUGUGUGAAGAUGCUAUGCUUAAGGGCGCAUAAGGUGUCAGUAUGGUCCUACCUGCAACAUUCAGUGGGGUGAGAAAAACUGCUUAAUCCAAAUAUUGCUUAGUCUAAUAAGGUGUAGGAUUUAGACUGCGUGCUUACCUUUUAUUUUCUUUGGUACUUUUUGGUCCUACCACUUAUAAUCACUUAAAAUCUAUCUUUCAGUAGUUAAACUUAUUAUAAUGUUUUAUCCUUACCAGUGAGUUUGUCUAAAGAAUUUAGGAAAUCUGCUUAUCUUACAAAGGCUGGUACAUGUCCACUUUCCUUUGAUGAAGUGGUGAACUAAUUAAAAAACUUGCAUUGCUCAAGAAAGGGUCUGGAGUGGUGCAAGAUGGUAUAUUCCCAGGGUGCAAAGGCUGGGGCCUUGGGAGAUUUGCUGGUGCCUUUCUCUGGGCGAUUCAUGAGUGGCUCAGGGAGCAUUCUUGCAAUUAGCUGGGUGUGGGGCUCCACAUGCUGUUGUGUUGAGUGAUCACAGCAGCACCUGGAGGGGUUUGCUGCUUGUCACUAGCAAACACAUUGUGAGAAACAGCCCAGGCUGGAGAGCUAAGGCGGCGCAGCGGUCCCACAGUUCCAGGUUGUACCUUGGGGAUCCCGUCACAGUCCCCAUCUCUGAAAUCUCCAGGGCAGCAGCCUGGGCCUCUGCCCAUACUUUCACAGAACACUAUGCAAUUACCCAAGACUCAGAUUCUGACGCUGUCUUCAGCUCCACUGUGCUAUCAGUAAUAGGCUCCACUCUGAAGCCCCAGCCCUCCAUGGGGCAUAAUGCUGUGGAGUCCUCUACAGUGGAGCACCCAUAGGGACACUACAGUAACUCCUUGCUUAACGUUGUAGUUAUGGUCCUGAAAAAUGCUACUUCAAGCGAAACGAUGUUAAGCGAAUCCAAUUUCCCCAUAAGAAUUAAGGUAAAUGGGGGGUUAGGGGAUUUUUUUUCGCCAGAUAAGACACCACACACACACACACACACACACACCUACACCCGUAUAAAUUUUAAACUAUUUAAUAUUGUACACAACAAUGAUGAUUGUGAAGCUUGGUAAAGGUGGUGGAGUCGCAGGGUGGGAUAUUUCCCAGGGAAUACCUUACUGCUAAAUGAUGAAGUAGCACUCGGCUGACCCCUCCAGGGAUAACACGUUGUUAAUGUAGCCUCACACUCUACAAGGCAGCACAAAUGGAGGGAGGAGACCCAACAUGGCAAUGGCUGCAAACAUUCUCUGUGGAAACUGAACGUGAUGAUGAACCCACGCUAUCCCACUGGAGCGCACCACUCCCUCCGCUUUCCAAAGUUCUGGGGGUGUAUGCAAGACAGACACAUGCACACAGUGUGUAUGAGAGACCAAGAGGGAGAGUGUGUGUGUGUGUGUGAGGGAGAGAGACGCAUUUCCCCUUUAAGUAUGCUGACCCCACUCUAAGUACACUGCCUUUUUAAGUACUGUAGAUAAGCAAGUUGAGACAGCAGCUGCUGCUAGCAAGCUCCCUCUGUCCUGCGCCCUGUCCUGUCGAGCCCUGCUCUGUAGAGCUGGGGGAGGGGGGAUACCCUGACAUCAGCACCCCUCUUCCCCCCCAUCCCCUGCACAGCAAGCAGGAGGCUACUAGGAGCAGUUCCAAGGCAGUGGGCAAGAGCAGUACAUGGCAGUGGAGGGAAGGACACCUGAACUGCCCGGCAAUUGAUAGCCUGCUGGGCGGCUGCCACACAGGGAACUUAGAGGAGCUGAUGGGGGCUGCUGGCCCACCCUGGUUCCAAGCCCCCACCAGGGAGCUCCAACAGGCUGCUCUUUCUGCAAGUAGUGGGCAAAGCAGGUGACUGCCAAACAACGUUAUAAGGGAGCAUUGAGCAACUUUAAACGAGCACGUUCUCUAAGUGAUCAGUAACAUAACAAAACAACGUUAACCGGGACGAUGUUAAGUGAGGAGUUACUGUACUUGAAGAAGAAAAGAAAGUUACUCCCUUGUGUAGUAACGAUGGUUCUUCGCAAUGUGUGUCCCUAUGGUGCUACAUAACCUGCCCUCUUCCCCUCUGCUUCGGCAUUCCCGUCAUGGGACUCUGCAAUAGUGAAGGAACUGGUUCCUUUUUGCUGAGGUGGAGGCCAUAUACAGCCUCAUCUCCCCCUACACCCUUACCUACCCAGCAUUUCAGUUCCAAUGGCUAUAUGAAGAAAGCUUAUUGCUAAAGCUUCUCUUUAAGAUGGAUUAAAUGCUUCUGAUUCUGGUGCUUGUUCGGUGGCUACAGGUACUGUAACCAUAGUUGAUACAAUGAUAGGGUAUGCAUUUUGAUUUACCACUCUGGUCUUCAGUAAUGGACAGUGAAAUACUGUCAUUUAUUUUAGCUCCACAACAGAAAAAACUCCAGGGGAAGUUUUUCAGGAAAAACUUAAUUGGUGGUCCCCAGUCUUGGCUAAAAUAUUUUACUGUCAUUAAUUAUACUGCAUGCAUUCUGUCUGGCUGGAAGUCUAGCAUCAUAGGUCCUAUUUUUUUAAAAGGGGGACAAAGAAUCCUGCUUCAUAAAGACCUACUAAUAUGUUAGAUGUGGCAGGGAAAAAUUAUUCCAGAUUUUUGCUAUCUAAACUUGAAAAUGGGCUUUGGAGGUUAUUUUAUUACAUGAAGGUCAGUCCAGCUUUAGGGCUGGUAGAGCCACAAUUGAUAAUUGUUUUAUUCUAUAUAAUUUAUAAAUACACUGUGGUUAAGGGUACUAGAUCAUAUGCUCCUUUCAUAGAUCUAAAGAUGGCAUUUGAUUCAAUUAGCUGAGACAGUCGUUGGGCAAAAUUAAGGAUGGGUAUUUGGUCUAAGACUUUUGCAUGUUUUGGUUGCUCUACUCCAGGGCAAUAUGGCUAAGGUGAGAUCAGAGGUGAGAACAGAGUUGCUCCAGCAUUAAUAAUUUCUAGCCGAAGUUUGGUUUAGGGGCCAAAUUUCAGCCUUAGAGAUUGUUCAAAAUAAUUUUUUGAGGAGACUUUUAAUUCUCUCAAAUUUUACCUUGGCCUUUUUUUUACAUGUCAAGGUGAGGGUUUUUUUCUGUAAGAAGUAGAGCUUGUAUUGCUUUUCUUAAAUAUUGGUCUAAGAUCUGCGCUCUUCCAAAUUAUAGAUUGCCACAUCUUUGCCUUCAGGAAAAUGGAAGAAUAACCUGUGUAUUCCUUAUUUCCAUGGUAUAAAACUCUUCAAUUUAUUAUUGCUACACUGGGUUUUUCUGUUACUUAUUGUUGAUAUAUUUAAUCAACAUAAUCAAUUACUCAGACGGAAACUGAGAUGUUACCCAACAACAAGCUCUGGCUGUGAUUCUAAAUUUACCUUUUGGUUUUCUACUUUGAAGACAGCUCAUGUUUUUGAACUGCAUUUGAAUGAGUUAUCAAAUUCUCAUUUAUGUAGGGCAUAUACUCACUUAAGAUUCCAAACUAUGGAAACUGCUGUCCUUCAAGGUAGAUGUGGAAAAGUUCCUUCACAUCUUUGUUUUUGCCCAAUUGUAGAACUGUCUAGCUUCUGAGAGCUAGAUUUUGGAUUUUACCUCUUUUUUUCUAUAAAAAAGAAUAUCACCAUCUCAAAAGAUAAUGGUUUUGGUAUUGUCUCAAUCCCCUGUUGUAAUUAAAUUGGUGGCAAUUUUUGGCCUUUUAGUAUUGUGCCAAAUAAGAAGAGGUUUUAUUAGGUUCUGAUGGAUAUUUUAAUGUAUUAUAUGGAUGCUGCUCUUCUUUUAGAUUGUGUAUGUUUUUCUUUGCAUUCACAAAAGGCAAUGUCAUAUGUGAUUUAAUAAAAUUGAAUUGAUUUGAAAAUACAGAUAUUGUGAUGCAACAUUCAUGGUUAUCUGCCUCAGGUUUACAAAAAGAAGAGCAAGCAACUAUUGAAUAAUUGCCAUUUGAGGUUCAGAAUCUGCUCAGUAAUAAGACUGAUUAAUCUCAGAUCAUUGGGUUUAUAUUCCCCUUAUUUCAAAAAGAAAUAACUCCAUCCUCAAUAUUCAUUGUCCAGAUAUAGGAAUGUUCAGUAUUCCUCUUGUUUUUCAUAGUAUCAACACCAGAGACCACCUGAACAAUUUUAUAUAGCGCUCUAGAGUUCAGAAGAAAUCUACUCCACUAUGCUGUUCUGUAGCUGCUCAAUUGGGUCAGACACAGAAAUAUAAGCUUUGAUGCGAUGUUCAAGGAUCUGCUUGUAUACAGUGAUCAAUAUAUACCCUUUUACUCCACA
Molecule: long non-coding RNA, 5255 nt
Organism: Chelonia mydas (Green sea turtle)
Lineage: Eukaryota; Metazoa; Chordata; Testudines; Cheloniidae
Exons: 2
Source: RefSeq, a predicted model, not a curated record